This 467-nucleotide ribosomal RNA is filed under the name uncultured bacterium. RNAcentral's name for it is "partial 16S ribosomal RNA". It matches the Rfam family "Bacterial small subunit ribosomal RNA", at positions 28 to 523 of the family's 1533-position model. The record is from RNAcentral.
GACGAAUGCUGGCGGCGUGCUUAACACAUGCAAGUCGAGCGAGAAACUUCGGUUUCUAGCGGCGGACGGGUGAGUAACACGUGGGCAACCUGCCUCACAAUGGGGGAUAGCCUUCCGAAAGGAAGAUUAAUACCGCAUAACACAAAGGAAACGCAUGUUUCUUUUGCCAAAGAAUUUCGUUGUGAGAUGGGCCCGCGGCGCAUUAGCUUGUUGGUGAGGUAACGGCUCACCAAGGCGACGAUGCGUAGCCGACCUGAGAGGGUGAUCGGCCACAUUGAAACGGAGACACGGCCGAGACCCCUAGGGGAGGAAGGGGGGGGAAGUAUUAAACAAAGGAGAAAACUUUGAUGCAGCAGCGCCGUGUGAGUGAUGAAGGUCUUCGGAUUGUAAAACUCUGUCUUCGGGGAAGAUAAGGAGGGUACAAGAGGAGAAAGCCACGGCUAACUACGUCCCACCCGCCGAAGUAA